UGGGGAAUAUUGCACAAUGGGCGCAAGCCUGAUGCAGCAACGCCGCGUGAACGAUGAAGGUCUUCGGAUCGUAAAGUUCUGUUGCAGGGGAAGAUAACGACGGUACCCUGUGAGGAAGCCCCGGCUAACUACGUGCCAGCAGCCGCGGUAAUACGUAGGGGGCUAGCGUUAUCCGGAUUUACUGGGCGUAAAGGGUGCGUAGGUGGUCCUUCAAGUCGGUGGUUAAAGGCUACGGCUCAACCGUAGUAAGCCGCCGAAACUGGAGGACUUGAGUGCAGGAGAGGAAAGUGGAAUUCCCAGUGUAGCGGUGAAAUGCGUAGAUAUUGGGAGGAACACCAGUAGCGAAGGCGGCUUUCUGGACUGCAACUGACACUGAGGCACGAAAGCGUGGGUAGCAAACAGG
This 403-nucleotide ribosomal RNA is filed under the name Verrucomicrobiota bacterium. RNAcentral's name for it is "Verrucomicrobia bacterium partial 16S ribosomal RNA". It matches the Rfam family "Bacterial small subunit ribosomal RNA", at positions 355 to 776 of the family's 1533-position model. The record is from RNAcentral. Lineage: Bacteria; Pseudomonadati; Verrucomicrobiota.